UGCCAAAAUUUUAACCUAAGGCGAACUUAAUCUCACAUUUAAUAAAUUAUACAUAAAUAAGUGUUUUGAGAAGUAGUAUUUUAAUCUAUGUUCUGUGAAUGACAAGUGUUAUCUGUCAAGUGUCAAAAAACUUGAAAAACUUUUACGAAGUUUUUGAAUUAAUGUUAAAUUUGUUUAUAAACACAAUGCCAAAGGCAAGAAUAAUUGCCCACGCCAGAUGGAGACCCAGCUAAAUAAUGUAGUAACAGCGCGUGGUCGUGUGAUGAGGGUUCCUUGACUUGAGUUCUGGCGCAACACGUCCUGGGCACUAAACAAGAUUGGAGAUGGGACGUCUAAAGAGGUGCAAGCCUAGAAAACGCUCUCGUCUUGCUCUACAGCACUUGCACUUGUCCCACUAUCUACCAGUGUUGGAACUCUUCCAAUAAUUUCCCACACCCAGGUGGAGAAUACUCCAGUUACUGCUACUGCUACUCUAAAAUAUCUCUCAUCUUGUUCUACAGCGCCUGCACCUGUCCUACCAUCUACCAGUGUUGGAACUCUUCGAAGUGUAUUAAUGAUUAUUAUUUUAGUAACCAUAAAAGUUUAAAACAAUACAUUUUAUUGCAUAAUUAUUUGUUAGAAAAAACGACAAGUACAAAUGAGUAGGGAGGCUGUUGAUUUUUUAUGGUUAUUUUAUAUCUUGUUGAUUGUUCAAAAAAAAAACUAAGUUUUCAAGAAUGCUGUGAUUAAAGUACCUAUAGUAUUAUAUUUAAAAUGAAAACUUAGUUUGUAAAGAGACGAAGGCUGACCACAAAAGAAGUACUUAUAGCUGUCUGUGUCUGUGUAAAGAAUUUAAAUAAAAAGAUGUGUAUAUUUAAA
This is a long non-coding RNA of Ostrinia nubilalis (European corn borer), 858 nucleotides long. RefSeq lists it as uncharacterized. Lineage: Eukaryota; Metazoa; Arthropoda; Insecta; Lepidoptera; Crambidae. The record is from RefSeq and is a predicted model, not a curated record. The transcript is spliced from 4 exons.